This 406-nucleotide ribosomal RNA is filed under the name uncultured bacterium. RNAcentral describes it as "partial 16S ribosomal RNA". It matches the Rfam family "Bacterial small subunit ribosomal RNA", at positions 30 to 526 of the family's 1533-position model. The record is from RNAcentral.
AUUGAACGCUGGCGGCAGGCCUAACACCUGCAAGUCGAGCGACCGGCGGACGGGUGAGUAAUGUCUGGGAAACUGCCUGAUGGAGGGGGAUAACUACUGGAAACGGUAGCUAAUACCGCAUACCAUCAGCUGUGCCCAGAUGGGAUUGGCUUGUAGGUGGGGUAACGGCUCACCUAGGCGACGAUCCCUAGCUGGUCUGAGAGGAUGACCAUCCACCCUGGAACUGGGACACUGUCCAGACUCCUACGGUAGGAAGCAGUGGGGAAUAUGGCACAAUGGGCGAAAGCCUGAUGCAGCCAUGCCGCGUGUGUGAAGAAGGCCUUCGGGAUGUAAAGCACUUUCAGCGGGGAGUCGUUACCCGCAGAAGAAGCACCGGCUAACUCCGUGCCAGCCGCCGCGGUAAUAC